This 253-nucleotide ribosomal RNA is filed under the name uncultured bacterium. Its description in RNAcentral is "partial 16S ribosomal RNA". It matches the Rfam family "Bacterial small subunit ribosomal RNA", at positions 524 to 776 of the family's 1533-position model. The record is from RNAcentral.
UACAGAGGUCUCAAGCGUUGUUCGGAUUCAUUGGGCGUAAAGGGUGCGUAGGCGGCGCGGUAAGUCGGGUGUGAAAUCUCGGAGCUUAACUCCGAAACUGCAUUCGAUACUGCCGUGCUUGAGGACUGGAGAGGAGACUGGAAUUUACGGUGUAGCGGUGAAAUACGUAGAUAUCAGGUGGAACACCGGAGGCGAAGGCGGUUAACUGGCUCGACACUGACACUGAGACCCGAAAGUGCGGGGAUCAAACAGG